Molecule: ribosomal RNA, 500 nt
Filed under: uncultured bacterium
Lineage: Bacteria
Description: partial 16S ribosomal RNA
Rfam family: Bacterial small subunit ribosomal RNA
Source: RNAcentral
AUUGAACGCUGGCGGCAGGCUUAACACAUGCAAGUCGAGCGGAGAUGAGGUGCUUGCACCUUAUCUUAGCGGCGGACGGGUGAGUAAUGCCUAGGAAUCUGCCUGUUAGUGGGGGAUAACGCGGGGAAACUCGCGCUAAUACCGCAUACGUCCUACGGGAGAAAGCGGGGGCUCUUCGGACCUCGCGCUAACAGAUGAGCCUAGGUCGGAUUAGCUAGUUGGUGGGGUAAUGGCCCACCAAGGCGACGAUCCGUAACUGGUCUGAGAGGCUGAUCAGUCACACUGGACCUGAGAAACGGUCCAGACUCCUACGGGAGGAAGCCGUGGGGAAUAUUGGACAAUGGGCGAAAGCCUGAUCCAGCCAUGCCGCGUGUGUGAAGAAGGUCUUCGGAUUGUAAAGCACUUUAAGUCGGGAGGAAGGGCUGCAGGUUAAUACCUUGCAGCCUUGACGUUACCGACAGAAUAAGCACCGGCUAACUUCGUGCCAGCAGCCGCCGUAA